AUUCAAAAAAAUAUUAGGAAUUGAUCGCCAACUGAAAACAACAUAAUCCAACUUCUUUCAGAAACAAAUUACCACACAACUCUCAAUUUAUAUAAUUGACUUAUUUUAGGUAACAACAAAGGUUCCAAAUGAACAUAAAUCACAAUUACAAUUAAAACAAUAAUCAAAUUUCUUGAAACAUCUGAUUUAAUCAGCAUCAUUAGCACUAUUAGUCCACCUUCCUGCAAUUUACCCGAGUCUGACCAUAUUUCCCUAUCAAUGACUUGAUAUUACCCAUCUUAAUCAUAGAUGUAGCAAAAUCUUUAGAGAAACUCCUUAAGUUUUUACUAAUGUUUUAACAAGAUCAUCAGUUUUUCCACCACUAAAUAGUACCAAACCUGAAGCACCCAAUAUGGAUCUAAUCAAAAGCAAAAUCUAACAAAAUAGUGUUUUAGUGAACAAAGACUUUUCAACUAAUUCUUUAUCAAGAUGUUCUCUUAAAGGGCAACUCUAAAAUAAAUUCAGAGAAUCAACAAGAAAGUUCUACUUAAUGUUAAAUGAAUGAAUUCGUAAAGAAAUAAAUUAUCUAACCAAACAAUUUAUACUCCAAACUUGACUUAUCCUUAAACGACUCAUUUUGAAGCUCGAUUCACAAUUAAUUAGAUAAAAUAGAAAGGGACACAAAUAGACUUGUUAAGCAAAAUGUUCUUUAACAACAAUUGAAAAAUCAGCAACUACAUUUAAUAGAAAGGGACACAAAUAGACUUGUUAAGCAAAAUGUUCUUUAACAGCAAUUGAAAAAUCAGCAACUACACAGAUUUUGACUCCAAAAUUCAAGUAUGGAAAAAAUGACUAAUUGAACUCGGAACCGUGAACGUCAUCCUCGAACAGUCACAUCCGAACCAGCAAAACACCAACCAAACUCAAGCAAGAUCCGUGAAUGAAGAUCAACAGGGCAGAAACUAAUAUAUAUAUAUAUAUAUAUAUAUAUAUAUAUAUUCUUCUCAAAAGUACUUCUCAAAACAACGAAACCAAUGAAGAUCAACAAGGCGUACAAUUGUAAUCAACAGUGAAACUAAUGAAGAUCAACAGGGCCAACAACUGUAAUUUCUUUUCUGAAAUUCGAAACACGAACAGAAAAUCGAAGAAGAAAACUCAAGAGCAGAGAACAAUUUUGCCCUUAAAACCCUAGCUUUUCAGUCACUUUUUCUGUUUGAAAUUAAAAAUUGAAUUUGAAAAGCCAUGGUUUAGAAUUGAGAUUUCAUCUAAACUAAAAUUAACAUAAAAAGGGUACAAUUUCGAACCUUACCUGAGAAGAACUCGAAGAGAAGAAACUCGAAGUUGAGUAGUUAUCAAUGGAAGUGAUCAAAAUAAGCGUUCACAGGCGCAAGAUCGGAGUUGGGGAUGAGUUUAGGGUUUUCUCUUUUUUUUUUGGGGGGUUAGUUGGCGACACAGACGUGGGUUUGGGAAAAAACGAGUGAAAUAUUAGCGCCAAUUUUUAUUAAUUAGCGCCAAUUUUUAUUAAUUAAUUUUUUAACAAUAGGCUAUGUUAUAUUUUAAGGGCCAAAU
Molecule: long non-coding RNA, 1548 nt
Filed under: Nicotiana benthamiana
Lineage: Eukaryota; Viridiplantae; Streptophyta; Magnoliopsida; Solanales; Solanaceae
Description: long non-coding RNA (NBEN_LNC035081)
Source: RNAcentral